CCUGUUGUUCUACGAACAGAAGCCUACUGGUACAUGCAAUUGAGUAAUCCUAUAUACUAUCAGGACAAUAUACUUGACUCGAAAUGGACUCGAAAAAUCGUGAAAGGAAGAUUAGACUAUUAGUAUCAUGUGGUCAGAAGC
Non-coding RNA from Orientia tsutsugamushi str. Gilliam, 141 nucleotides. The record is from Rfam. Lineage: Bacteria; Pseudomonadati; Pseudomonadota; Alphaproteobacteria; Rickettsiales; Rickettsiaceae.